Molecule: transfer RNA, 77 nt
Filed under: Rhodohalobacter barkolensis
Lineage: Bacteria; Pseudomonadati; Balneolota; Balneolia; Balneolales; Balneolaceae
Also listed under: 1 other name
Description: tRNA-Ala
Rfam family: tRNA
About the family: Transfer RNA (tRNA) molecules are approximately 80 nucleotides in length.
Source: RNAcentral
GGGGCUAUAGCUCAGCUGGCUAGAGCGUCGCGCUGGCAGCGCGAAGGUCCGGGGUUCGAAUCCCCGUAGCUCCACAA